UGGGGAAUAUUGCACAAUGGGCGAAAGCCUGAUGCAGCAACGCCGCGUGAGGGACGACGGCCUUCGGGUGUAAACCUCUUUAGCAAGGAAGAAGCGAAAGUACGGUACUUGCAGAAAAAGCGCCGGCUAACUACGUGCCAGCAGCCGCGGUAAUACGUAGGGCGCAAGCGUUAUCCGGAAUUAUUGGGCGUAAAGAGCUCGUAGGCGGUUUGUCGCGUCUGCUGUGAAAACCCGAGGCUCAACCUCGGGCCUGCAGUGGGUACGGGCAGACUAGAUGCGGUAGGGGAGAUUGGAACUCCUGGUGUAGCGGUGGAAUGCGCAGAUAUCAGGAAGAACACCGAUGGCGAAGGCAGAUCUCUGGGCCGUAACUGACGCUGAGGAGCGAAAGGGUGGGGAGCAAACAGGCUUAGAUACCCUGGUAGUCCACCCCGUAAACGUUGGGAACUAGUUGUGGGGNCCAUUCCACGGAUUCCGUGACGCAGCUAACGCAUUAAGUUCCCCGCCUGGGGAGUACGGCCGCAAGGCU
RNAcentral lists this ribosomal RNA (526 nucleotides) under uncultured bacterium. RNAcentral's name for it is "partial 16S ribosomal RNA". It matches the Rfam family "Bacterial small subunit ribosomal RNA", at positions 355 to 895 of the family's 1533-position model. The record is from RNAcentral.